GCUUAACACAUGCAAGUCGAACGAUGAAGCCCUUCGGGGUGGAUUAGUGGCGAACGGGUGAGUAACACGUGGGCAAUCUGCCCUUCACUCUGGGACAAGCCCUGGAAACGGGGUCUAAUACCGGAUAACACUCUGUCCCGCAUGGGACGGGGUUAAAAGCUCCGGCGGUGAAGGAUGAGCCCGCGGCCUAUCAGCUUGUUGGUGGGGUAAUGGCCUACCAAGGCGACGACGGGUAGCCGGCCUGAGAGGGCGACCGGCCACACUGGGACUGAGACACGGCCCAGACUCCUACGGGAGGCAGCAGUGGGGAAUAUUUCACAAUGGGCGAAAGCCUGAUGCAGCGACGCCGCGUGAGGGAUGACGGCCCUCGGGUUGUAAACCUCUUUCAGCAGGGAAGAAGCGAAAGUGACGGUACCUGCAGAAGAAGCGCCGGCUAACUACGUGCCAGCAGCCGCGGUAAUAC
Molecule: ribosomal RNA, 463 nt
Filed under: Streptomyces sp. A00005
Lineage: Bacteria; Bacillati; Actinomycetota; Actinomycetes; Kitasatosporales; Streptomycetaceae
Description: bacterial SSU rRNA
Rfam family: Bacterial small subunit ribosomal RNA
Source: RNAcentral